CACGUACUGUGCGAACGUUAUUCGGAAUCACUGGGCUUAAAGGGUGCGUAGGCGGCUUUGUAAGUCAGUGGUGAAAUAUGGCAGCUUAACUGUCAGGGUGCCAUUGAUACUGCGGAGCUUGAGUACAGAUGAGGUAGGCGGAAUUGACGGUGUAGCGGUGAAAUGCUUAGAUAUCGUCAAGAACACCUAUAGCGAAGGCAGCUUACUAGGCUGUAACUGACGCUGAGGCACGAAAGUGUGGGGAUCAAACAGG
Molecule: ribosomal RNA, 253 nt
Filed under: uncultured bacterium
Lineage: Bacteria
Description: partial 16S ribosomal RNA
Rfam family: Bacterial small subunit ribosomal RNA
Source: RNAcentral